RNAcentral lists this transfer-messenger RNA (352 nucleotides) under Natranaerovirga pectinivora. RNAcentral describes it as "Standard tmRNA". It matches the Rfam family "transfer-messenger RNA". Rfam says of the family: Bacterial tmRNA, also known as 10Sa RNA or SsrA, is named for its dual tRNA and mRNA-like properties. Its role is to liberate the mRNA from a stalled ribosome. Lineage: Bacteria; Bacillati; Bacillota; Clostridia; Lachnospirales; Natranaerovirgaceae. The record is from Rfam by way of RNAcentral.
GGGGGUGUACUGGUUUCGACGGGGGCAUCAGAUAUUAGAGGAGCCAUCCGCAGCUUUCUGGGACUGCGUCAACAACCUGGUAAAUAAAUUAAACGCAGACGAAAAUAAUUUCGCAUUAGCUGCUUAAUGCAGCUUGUUAACUCUCAGUAACCCGCGGCUGUGGGUUAACAUCAAAUGAAGCGGGGAACUUCUCUUACAAAGCUUUGAGUAGGAAGAAGAAUUAUGAAGCUACUAACCUACAAAGCCUGUCGUUAGGCGUUGUAGUGAGGGAAUGUUAAAAUAGCGACUGUGAUGGGAGAUACUGUAAUAAAUGGGUCUUCGGACAGGGGUUCGAUUCCCCUCACCUCCAUAA